This 334-nucleotide unclassified non-coding RNA is filed under the name soil metagenome. RNAcentral describes it as "partial contains 5.8S ribosomal RNA, internal transcribed spacer 2, and large subunit ribosomal RNA". The stretch from base 1 to 120 matches the Rfam family "5.8S ribosomal RNA", at positions 35 to 154 of the family's 154-position model. The record is from RNAcentral.
GAUGAAGAACGUAGCUAAAUGCGAUAAGUAAUGUGAAUUGCAGAAUUCAGUGAAUCAUCGAAUCUUUGAACGCACAUUGCGCCCGCCAGUAUUCUGGCGGGCAUGCCUGUUCGAGCGUCAUUUCAACCAUCAAGCCCCCGGCUUGUGUUGGGGACCUGCGGCUGCCGCAGGCCCUGAAAUGCAGUGGCGGGCUCGCUGUCACUCCGAGCGUAGUAGUUACAUCUCGCUCUGGGCGUGCUGCGGGUUCCGGCCGUUAAAAGCCUUAUUUACCCAAGGUUGACCUCGGAUCAGGUAGGAAGACCCGCUGAACUUAAGCAUAUCAAUAAGCGGAGGA